This 1146-nucleotide long non-coding RNA is filed under the name Heterocephalus glaber (naked mole-rat). RNAcentral's name for it is "lncRNA (ENSHGLG00000038219.1)". Lineage: Eukaryota; Metazoa; Chordata; Mammalia; Rodentia; Bathyergidae. The record is from RNAcentral.
CUGAUUGCCUCAACUUGAGUGAGACACGCCCCGACUCUGUUGGAUCAGCAUGGUUCUGGGUGUGGCUGAGGGAACUCACUGAAGACAGAAGCCCCCACGCUAGGGCGGCUUAUUUCCCUCCAAUGGUGUAGAAGGGAAACCAAGAAGGAAGGCUGAUUCCGCUCCUUCGGAGGCGCUGCGGUCUUCGCCUUCGCCUUGGAUGCGUCUCCUGGUGCCCACUGCAGCCCCUUCAGCCUCCUGUAACGGGCUUGGUGGGGACACUGCAGUGAGCUCCAGGCCUUCGGCCCGACCCUCUGCUCUCUUCCUCACCUGAUUCUGCAGGAGCCACUCUGCAGGGGCCUCAUCUGGGUGCUGGGGCCACUGCAGGCUGCUCAGGGAGGCUUUGGGCAGAGCAGCAGGCAGCAGGAUGGACAAGAGCGAUGUAUGCAGAGAACACCCCGAAGAGCUGAGAGCUGCUUGGGCUUCUGGGCCUUGUGAGACGCCUGCCUCUCCCAAGGGCUGUUCCUGCUCCGACCCUCAGCCUCCUCCUCCAGGCGCCUCGGACAGCUGGCCUCCAGGUUGCUCCAGGAAGCUAGCUCCCUGACACCUUUUGGGUGUGCGUGGCCCAUGUGGCAUCUGUCCUGCCCCUGCCUGAGGAAGACCCUGGCACCUGGCACGGCUGCCUCUUUUAGAGCCAAGACUCAGUCAUUCAGCCAACACGAGGCCUGCACUGAGUACGAUCCCCUCGGCCUCCUCCAGACCUAACAUUGCAGCUUUGCUGGUGCCUGGCCCGGGCACCUUCGCCUCCAUCAGGCUUGCCUCCGCUGUCCUCCCGUCCACCUGCCACUUCACAGCCCAGCCCCAAGUGGCUCAGUGCUCCUCUCCCAGCUCCCACGGCCACUGCAGAGGGGAACACAGGGUCCAGUGAGGCCAGGAGGGGACUGAGCUCCCACGGGGCAGGACAAGGGUCCAAAUCCAGAACUACUUGCUCUGCACGGCCUCCUGUACCACAGAGCUACCCGAGCCCCUCGUUAGGUCAUUCAAGCAACUCAGUCUUGAAAUCCACCCCUGUACCACCAGUUCUGCCAGCAAGUCUCUGUUUGAGCUUUCUCCCUGACCCGCAGCCCUGCAGGCCCUGGAGCUGGUGGGCUUGGGUUUCAUCUGCAC